CCUACGGGAGGCUGCAGUCGAGAAUCAUUCACAAUGGGGGAAACCCUGAUGGUGCGACGCCGCGUGGGGGAAUGAAGGUCUUCGGAUUGUAAACUCCUGUCAUGUGGGAGCAAAUGAAAAAGAUAGUACCACAAGAGGAAGAGACGGCUAAGUCUGUGCCAGCAGCCGCGGUAAUACAGAGGUCUCAAUCGUUGUUCGGAAUGACUGGGCGUAAAGCGUUCGUAGGCUGUUGCGUAAGUCGUGUGGGAACGGCACGGGCUAAACCCGCGGACGGCACAUGAUACUGUGAGACUAGAGUGAUGGAGGGGGAAGCGGAAUUGUCGGUGUAGCAGUGAAAUGCGUAGAGAUC
Molecule: ribosomal RNA, 349 nt
Filed under: uncultured bacterium
Lineage: Bacteria
Description: partial 16S ribosomal RNA
Rfam family: Bacterial small subunit ribosomal RNA
Source: RNAcentral